UACGGGAGGCAGCAGUCGGGAAUUUUGCGCAAUGGACGAAAGUCUGACGCAGCAACGCCGCGUGAGGGAUGAAGGCCUUCGGGUUGUAAACCUCUUUUAUCAGGGAAGAUAAUGACGGUACCUGAUGAAUAAGUCACGGCUAACUAC
Molecule: ribosomal RNA, 147 nt
Filed under: uncultured bacterium
Lineage: Bacteria
Description: partial 16S ribosomal RNA
Rfam family: Bacterial small subunit ribosomal RNA
Source: RNAcentral